This 464-nucleotide ribosomal RNA is filed under the name Vreelandella stevensii. Its description in RNAcentral is "partial 16S ribosomal RNA". It matches the Rfam family "Bacterial small subunit ribosomal RNA", at positions 338 to 795 of the family's 1533-position model. Lineage: Bacteria; Pseudomonadati; Pseudomonadota; Gammaproteobacteria; Oceanospirillales; Halomonadaceae. The record is from RNAcentral.
CCUACGGGAGGCAGCAGUGGGGAAUAUUGGACAAUGGGGCAACCCUGAUCCAGCCAUGCCGCGUGUGUGAAGAAGGCCCUCGGGUUGUAAAGCACUUUCAGUGAGGAAGAACGCCUGGUGGUUAAUACCCAUCAGGAAAGACAUCACUCACAGAAGAAGCACCGGCUAACUCCGUGCCAGCAGCCGCGGUAAUACGGAGGGUGCGAGCGUUAAUCGGAAUUACUGGGCGUAAAGCGCGCGUAGGUGGCUUGAUAAGCCGGUUGUGAAAGCCCCGGGCUCAACCUGGGAACGGCAUCCGGAACUGUCAAGCUAGAGUGCAGGAGAGGAAGGUAGAAUUCCCGGUGUAGCGGUGAAAUGCGUAGAGAUCGGGAGGAAUACCAGUGGCGAAGGCGGCCUUCUGGACUGACACUGACACUGAGGUGCGAAAGCGUGGGUAGCAAACAGGAUUAGAUACCCCUGUAGUC